GAUGAACGCUGGCGGCGUGCCUAAUACAUGCAAGUCGAGCGAAUGGGCGAGAAGCUUGCUUCUCUGAUGUUAGCGGCGGACGGGUGAGUAACACGUGGAUAACCUACCUAUAAGACUGGGAUAACUUCGGGAAACCGUAGCUAAUACCGGAUAAUAUUUUGAACCGCAUGGUUCAAAAGUGAAAGACGGUCUUGCUGUCACUUAUAGAUGGAUCCGCGCUGCAUUAGCUAGUUGGUAAGGUAACGGCUUACCAAGGCAACGAUGCAUAGCCGACCUGAGAGGGUGAUCGGCCACACUGGAACUGAGACACGGUCCAGACUCCUACGGGAGGCAGCAGUAGGGAAUCUUCCGCAAUGGGCGAAAGCCUGACGGAGCAACGCCGCGUGAGUGAUGAAGGUCUUCGGAUCGUAAAACUCUGUUAUUAGGGAAGAACAUAUGUGUAAGUAACUGUGCACAUCUUGACGGUACCUAAUCAGAAAGCCACGGCUAACUACGUG
This 497-nucleotide ribosomal RNA is filed under the name uncultured bacterium. Its description in RNAcentral is "partial 16S ribosomal RNA". It matches the Rfam family "Bacterial small subunit ribosomal RNA", at positions 28 to 507 of the family's 1533-position model. The record is from RNAcentral.